Molecule: ribosomal RNA, 410 nt
Filed under: uncultured bacterium
Lineage: Bacteria
Description: bacterial SSU rRNA
Rfam family: Bacterial small subunit ribosomal RNA
Source: RNAcentral
AACGAACGCUGGCGGCGUGGUUUAGGCAUGCAAGUCGAGCGAGAAAGUCCUUCGGGACGAGUACAGCGGCGAAAGGGUGAGUAAUAUAUAGGUAACCUACCUCUUGGACUCGGAUAAUUCCUGGAAACGGGUUGUAAUACGAGAUCGUCCUAUUGGGUCGCAUGGCCCGACUGGUAAAUGGUAGCUCUGCUUCUGCCGAGAGAGGGGCCUAUAUCCUAUUAGCUAGUUGGUGAGGUAAUGGCUCACCAAGGCUUUGAUGGGUAGCCGGACUGAGAGGUUGGCCGGUCACACUGGGACUGAGACACUGCCCAGACUCCUACGGGAGGCUGCAGUCGAGAAUCUUCCGCAAUGGGCGAAAAGCCUGACGGGGCGACGCCGCGUGAACGAAGAAGGCCUCGGUUGUAAGUUAC